Molecule: non-coding RNA, 74 nt
Organism: Gambusia affinis (western mosquitofish)
Lineage: Eukaryota; Metazoa; Chordata; Actinopteri; Cyprinodontiformes; Poeciliidae
Source: the annotation of a RefSeq genome assembly
GGUGCUGUGACUUAGCUGGUAAAAGCACCUGUUUCGUAAACAGGCGAUCCUGGGUUCAAGUCCCAGCAGCACCU